Molecule: ribosomal RNA, 253 nt
Filed under: uncultured bacterium
Lineage: Bacteria
Description: partial 16S ribosomal RNA
Rfam family: Bacterial small subunit ribosomal RNA
Source: RNAcentral
UACGGGGGGGGCAAGCGUUGUUCGGAAUUACUGGGCGUAAAGGGCUCGUAGGUGGCCAACUAAGUCAGACGUGAAAUCCCUCGGCUUAACCGGGGAACUGCGUCUGAUACUGGAUGGCUUGAGUUCGGGAGAGGGAUGCGGAAUUCCAGGUGUAGCGGUGAAAUGCGUAGAUAUCUGGAGGAACACCGGUGGCGAAGGCGGCAUCCUGGACCGAUACUGACACUGAGGAGCGAAAGCUAGGGGAGCAAACGGG